GCCUGAUGCAGCCAUGCCGCGUGUAUGAAGAAGGCCUUCGGGUUGUAAAAGUACUUUCAGCAGUGAGGAAGGCGGAGUCGUUAAUAGCGGCCUCGUUUGACGUUAGCUGCAGAAGAAGCACCGGCUAACUCCGUGCCAGCAGCCGCGGUAAUACGGAGGGUGCGAGCGUUAAUCGGAAUUACUGGGCGUAAAAGCGCAUGCAGGUGGUUUGUUAAGUCAGAUGUGAAAGCCCGGGGCUCAACCUCGGAAUUGCAUUUAGAAACUGGCAGACUAGAGUACUGUAGAGGGGGUAGAAUUUCAGGUGUAGCGGUGAAAAUGCGUAGAGAUCUGAAGGAAUACCGGUGGCGAAGGCGGCCCCCUGGACAGAUACUGACACUCAGAUGCGAAAGCGUGGGGAGCAAACAGGAUUAGAUACCCUGGUAG
RNAcentral lists this ribosomal RNA (423 nucleotides) under uncultured bacterium. RNAcentral describes it as "bacterial SSU rRNA". It matches the Rfam family "Bacterial small subunit ribosomal RNA", at positions 381 to 793 of the family's 1533-position model. The record is from RNAcentral.